Molecule: ribosomal RNA, 485 nt
Filed under: uncultured bacterium
Lineage: Bacteria
Description: bacterial SSU rRNA
Rfam family: Bacterial small subunit ribosomal RNA
Source: RNAcentral
AUUGAACGCUGGCGGAAUGCUUUACACAUGCAAGUCGAACGGUAGAGGGGGCAACCCCUUGAGAGUGGCGAACGGGUGAGUAAUAUAUCGGAACGUGCCCAGUCGUGGGGAUAACGUAGCGAAAGUUACGCUAAUACCGCAUACGAUCUACGGAUGAAAGCGGGGGAUCGCAAGACCUCGCGCGAUUGGAGCGGCCGAUAUCAGAUUAGGUAGUUGGUGAGGUAAAGGCUCACCAAGCCGACGAUCUGUAGCUGGUCUGAGAGGACGACCAGCCACACUGGGACUGAGACACGGUCCAGACUCCUACGGGAGGCAGCAGUGGGGAAUUUUGGACAAUGGACGCAAGUCUGAUCCAGCCAUUCCGCGUGCAGGAUGAAGGCCCUCGGGUUGUAAACUGCUUUGUACGGAACGAAAAGGUUUGUCUUAAUACGAUGAGCUCAUGACGGUACCGUAAGAAUAAGCACCGGCUAACUACGUGCCAGCAG